Molecule: ribosomal RNA, 429 nt
Filed under: Bacillota bacterium
Lineage: Bacteria; Bacillati; Bacillota
Description: Firmicutes bacterium partial 16S ribosomal RNA
Rfam family: Bacterial small subunit ribosomal RNA
Source: RNAcentral
UGGGGAAUUUUGGACAAUGGGCGAAAGCCUGAUCCAGCAAUGCCGCGUGUGUGAAGAAGGCCUUCGGGUUGUAAAGCACUUUUGUCCGGAAAGAAAUGGCUCUGGAUAAUACCUGGGGUCGAUGACGGUACCGGAAGAAUAAGGACCGGCUAACUACGUGCCAGCAGCCGCGGUAAUACGUAGGGUCCAAGCGUUAAUCGGAAUUACUGGGCGUAAAGCGUGCGCAGGCGGUUGUGCAAGACCGAUGUGAAAUCCCCGAGCUUAACUUGGGAAUUGCAUUGGUGACUGCACGGCUAGAGUGUGUCAGAGGGGAGUAGAAUUCCACGUGUAGCAGUGAAAUGCGUAGAGAUGUGGAGGAAUACCGAUGGAGAAGGCAGCCCCCUGGGAUAACACUGACGCUCAUGCACGAAAGCGUGGGGAGCAAACAGG